CAGCACCUCAAGUGGUCAGGAUGAUUAUUGGGCCUAAAGCAUCCGUAGCCGGCGCUGUAAGUUUUCGGUUAAAUCUGUACGCUCAACGUACAGGCUGCCGGGAAUACUGCAGCGCUAGGGAGUGGGAGAGGUAGACGGUACUCGGUAGGAAGGGGUAAAAUCCUUUGAUGUAUUGAUGACCACCUGUGGCGAAGGCGGUCUACCAGAACACGUCCGACGGUGAGGGAUGAAAGCUGGGGGAGCAAACCGGAUUAGAUACCCGAGUAGUCC
This 270-nucleotide ribosomal RNA is filed under the name uncultured archaeon. RNAcentral describes it as "partial 16S ribosomal RNA". It matches the Rfam family "Archaeal small subunit ribosomal RNA", at positions 477 to 747 of the family's 1478-position model. The record is from RNAcentral.